Saccostrea cuccullata (small rock oyster) is the source of this 1054-nucleotide long non-coding RNA. RefSeq lists it as uncharacterized. The record is from RefSeq and is a predicted model, not a curated record. NCBI's taxonomy places the organism in Eukaryota, Metazoa, Mollusca, Bivalvia, Ostreida, Ostreidae. The transcript is spliced from 2 exons.
AAAAAAAGCGCUUAGAAAAUAAACACUUCCAUUACGUGUUUUGACCUAAACAUGUAUAAGAUUGUGUUUAACGGCUAAACACUUAGGUCUAAACGUGUGUUAGAUUGUGUUUAACGGCUAAACACUUAUGUCUAAACGUGUGUUAUAUCUAAAUGAUGUUAAGAUUUAACACAUGUUUAGAUAUAAAUGUUUAGAAAUUGAACACUUUUCUGUGAAGUACAGAGUUAUCUUCCCGGAAAUGACGCAUAUAUAUUCGAAUGAUAAAUAGAGCGGUUAUCGAAACAAAGGAAAUCCCAAUGUUAGCUAAAGAAGAUGGAUUAAAGGAAGUGAAUGCUAAUCAAAGUGAUAACCAUGAAGAGAUUGUGAAAUGCAUUUAAACUGCAACAUUACUGCGAUAAAAGGAUAUGGUCCACAUCGAACUUGAAAGCAGAAAUACACGUAUCAGAGAAACUGACUCUCCAAGUCCACACUUCUUACUUUCUAGGGGAAACUGAGUUUUGUGAAGUCUGCUGUUCGUUAUAGCUUUGAACAACCUAAAAUAUUCUCAAAUAAUAACAAGUGGAUUACCUACUGACGGUCACAGAUGAAAACAAAUUAUGCGUGUGUUGCUCAGUGAAAAAUUGCUGGAAGUUAAACUUGAUACAGACAUGAGGAAUAACUGCUUGCUAAUCUGGUUAGAAUUAAAACCAGCGUGUAAAAAUAUAAUGUAUAUUUAAUUUAAAAUUCUUUAUAAAUAAUCCAUGCUUGAAUGUUCAUUGAAUAAAAUUUAAAAUGUAAACAAUUGUUAUUUUUUCAGUUUUCUUGCAGGAAGACAACGAAAACAUCCAAGUGUUUAGUUUGUAAACAUGUAUCAUAACAUGUUUUGUAAAGUGUUUAAAGUCUAAACAUGUAAGUGUUUUGGCUCUAAACACUUUCCGUUACACGUAAUGAAAUUCAAUGUGUUUAGAAUUUCAACGCAUCCCAAAAAGUGUGACAAGAAAGUGCUUAGGAAAGUGUCUAUCAUCUAAACACAUUUUUUACAGUGUAUCUGUGGUACAGUUUUUGUUGUUUUAAA